This is a long non-coding RNA of Zingiber officinale, 188 nucleotides long. RefSeq lists it as uncharacterized. Lineage: Eukaryota; Viridiplantae; Streptophyta; Magnoliopsida; Zingiberales; Zingiberaceae. The record is from RefSeq and is a predicted model, not a curated record. The transcript is spliced from 3 exons.
CGGAUAGAAGCCAUUAACAUUUCCCCGUCAGGUGGUAGCAUUGUGCCAAUCUCCAUUUCUAUUGGAUGACCCUAAUGUCGGGCUUUUAUUCCCAGCAGAUGUCAUUGCAAGAGCUAAACAUUAUCUUUCAUUGAAUUCGGGUGGUUUAGGUGCACAUAGUGAUUCUCGAGGACUUCCUGGAAUUAGGA